Small nuclear RNA from Nannospalax galili (Upper Galilee mountains blind mole rat), 107 nucleotides. Lineage: Eukaryota; Metazoa; Chordata; Mammalia; Rodentia; Spalacidae. The record is from Ensembl.
GUGCUCGCUUCGGCAGCACAUAUACUAAAAUGGAAACCAUAUAGAGAAGAUUAGCAUGGCCCCCGCACAAGUUUGACAUGCAAAUUCAUGUAGCGUUCCAUAUUUUU